GGGGAAUCUUGCGCAAUGGGCGAAAGCCUGACGCAGCAACGCCGCGUGCGGGAAGAAGGCCUUCGGGUUGUAAACCGCUUUCAGAAGGAACGAAACUGACGGUACUUUCAGAAGAAGGUGCGGCCAACUACGUGCCAGCAGCCGCGGUGACACGUAGGCACCAAGCGUUGUCCGGAUUUAUUGGGCGUAAAGAGCUCGUAGGCGGUUCGGUAAGUCGGGUGUGAAAACUUUGGGCUCAACCCAAAGCGUGCAUUCGAUACUGCCGUGACUAGAGUUCGGUAGGGGAGUGGGGAAUUCCUAGUGUAGCGGUGAAAUGCGCAGAUAUUAGGAGGAACACCGGUGGCGAAGGCGCCACUCUGGGCCGAAACUGACGCUGAGGAGCGAAAGCGUGGGUAGUAAAC
Molecule: ribosomal RNA, 401 nt
Filed under: uncultured bacterium
Lineage: Bacteria
Description: bacterial SSU rRNA
Rfam family: Bacterial small subunit ribosomal RNA
Source: RNAcentral